Molecule: non-coding RNA, 354 nt
Organism: Danio rerio (zebrafish)
Lineage: Eukaryota; Metazoa; Chordata; Actinopteri; Cypriniformes; Danionidae
Source: Ensembl
AGAUUUCACGAGCUCUGCGUAAACAGAAGGAGGGACACCAACACCAGUCAAAAAAGAUAUCAUGUUGCUCCGACAUACACAUCCAGUGUCUACAAAACAUGCAACCAGUGAAGGGAAGCGUGUGGCUACUGUGGAUUUCACUCAGGUAACGUUCAUGUUCCUGUUUCAAACAUUCCAAAAAAGGACCAAAAAAGACGUUAAAAAAAAAAAAAACAUGGUUCGCAACUUAAAGAUCCAAUCAUAAUCAGCUUUCCGACCUCAAAGCUAUAAAACAAACUGAACCAUACUUCGAAAUACAGUACUUUGGAUAAAUGUACAGUAUAUGGAUCUUGUCGACAAUAUACAAAUGAGCAC